This is a long non-coding RNA of Aegilops tauschii subsp. strangulata, 1702 nucleotides long. RefSeq lists it as uncharacterized. The record is from RefSeq and is a predicted model, not a curated record. NCBI's taxonomy places the organism in Eukaryota, Viridiplantae, Streptophyta, Magnoliopsida, Poales, Poaceae.
UCUUUUUUUUAGCAGAAUCAAUCUGCAAUUGGACUGAUCACAGAUACAUCUUUUUACUUGCAGGGACGGCCGGCGGAAUCUUAACAUCGGUGGCUGAUGCAGGCGCCUCAGGGCGAGCUCAGAGACUAGGAGGGUGUUUGUUUCCAGGGACUUAUUGGUUUAGGGACUUAAAAAAGUCCCUAUAAGUCCCAUCUAAACCAAACAGGAGGGAUUUAUAGGACUUAAAAUGGUGAUUUGGGACUUAUAAAAAAGACUCUCAGGGAGGAACUUAUAGGGACUUAUAGUGAUGAUUUGGGUCUUUUAGCAUGUCAUUUAAUAACCUCUAGCCCAUGAUAAAUCCUGUAAACAAACAGGUAGGGACUCGGGACUUAUAAGUUGGGACUAAAAAAGUCCUAAAACUUGUGAAACAAACAGGGCCUAGGUUGCCACUACUCCGUUUCCGGCUCAAAGUACUACUUGAGAUUUCCUUCGAUUUGACUCGGCCUUCACUUUAGAAAAAGGAAUCGAUAACGCCCGAACGUGCUAGAUUUUGGCAAAUCGCCCCGAAUGCUGCACCUACCAUACAAUACCUUUAGCACGAAUCACAGAACAAAUCCAGUGUCACGUCAUCUUUUUAGAUCGUUCGGGCUGUAGCCCCAACGCCCGAACGCUCGAGCACUUCUCUCCCUUAUCCUCUCACUCCACCGCACUAGCCUUUCCCCAUUCUCCUAUCCACUCCUCUCCUGGCUGCUCCUCGGGCCAGCAGCAACCGUCGACGGGGAGCGCAGCUCGCCUUGUGUCGCGGCGGAGCAGGCGGCGGAACAGCCGGAGGAUGAGGAAGCUGGUGGAGGCGCGGUGUGACGGCAGCGGUGCGUGGUGGCUCGCCGAGGACGAUGAAGCGAGCGGAGGCGGCGACUCCCAGGCCAGCGCGGAUCAGCGGGGCUCCGACGCCGUGAGGAUAUGGCUAAGAUGGAGGUGGCGCGGCGCGAGCACUCGGUGGCUGGGGCACGUCGCGGAUGCAGCUGCGUGGUUGCGCUUGGAGUGCGAGUAAGCGGGCGGGGGCAGCGGCGCUGAGGCCCGCUAGACUCCGGUGGAUGUGGCCCUUGGUCGCCGCCGUCCGCUGGUCUCUUCGCCCGGCGAAUCGACGCCGGAUUUGUAGGGUCCAACGGCGCGGGGUGGCUCUGGUGACCUUGCGCAAGGACGGCACGCGCGGGGAAGACAACCACCAUGGCCAACCUAGUGGCGUCCCUGGGGCUCGGCAAUCACGAUGGGGUUCGAACUUCGCGGCCCGUGACGAGGCGGCUGUCGGCGCCAGAGGUCGACUCCCCGGUCAACGUCUCCUUCCUACGAAGAAGAAGAGAUUAUUCUUCAGAGAAUUGUGGCGUUUCUUUUGGUUUGUAACCAUCAUCAAUAACACAUGGGCAACUAUUCAGUAAUCUGUGUACCUUACACUACUUCCUCUUGUUUGUACUGAUAUGUGGAUUCCUCAAAUUUUGAAGCAGCCUCAACGUUACCAUCAGAUUCUAAUUCACUUUGACAUGUCUCAAAUUCUGUUAUAUUUUUUCCUAGCUGAUUUCUGAGUCAAGUUGUGAUAAAUUAGUUAGCUUAGCUAUGUACUGAAGUUAGUUUAGUUUGGUGUGUACCCGAGGUUCUGCUUAAAAUAGUUACCAUUGUAUUAGACAUAUAUUUGACAUCUUAUUUAGCAAGAUAUUCCUCGAGAAUA